UACAGAGGAUGCAAGCGUUAUCCGGAAUGAUUGGGCGUAAAGCGUCUGUAGGUGGCUUUUUAAGUCUGCCGUCAAAUCCCAGGGCUUAACCCUGGACAGGCGGUGGAAACUACCAAGCUGGAGUACGGUAGGGGCAGGGGGAAUUUCCGGUGGAGCGGUGAAAUGCGCAGAUAUCAGGAGGAACACCAGCGGCGAAGGCGGCGCUCUGGGCCGGAACUGACGCUGAGGAGCGAAAGCGUGGGUAGCAAACAGG
Molecule: ribosomal RNA, 253 nt
Filed under: uncultured bacterium
Lineage: Bacteria
Description: partial 16S ribosomal RNA
Rfam family: Bacterial small subunit ribosomal RNA
Source: RNAcentral